CAGCCGCCGCGGGAAUACGUAGGGUGCGAGCGUUAAUCGGAAUUACUGGGCGUAAAGCGUGCGCAGGCGGUUGUGUAAGACAGGUGUGAAAUCCCCGGGCUUAACCUGGGAACUGCGCUUGUGACUGCACAGCUAGAGUAUGGCAGAGGGGGGUGGAAUUCCACGUGUAGCAGUGAAAUGCGUAGAGAUGUGGAGGAACACCGAUGGCGAAGGCAGCCCCCUGGGCCAAUACUGACGCUCAUGCACGAAAGCGUGGGGAGCAAACAGGAUUAGAUACCCCUGUAGUCCCUGUCUCUUAUAC
This 301-nucleotide ribosomal RNA is filed under the name uncultured bacterium. Its description in RNAcentral is "partial 16S ribosomal RNA". It matches the Rfam family "Bacterial small subunit ribosomal RNA", at positions 509 to 807 of the family's 1533-position model. The record is from RNAcentral.